AUGAACCUCACUGGUAUCAAGAUCCAAGAGAUGGUGAGGAAUACGAGGGAGAGACUGGAGGCCGAUUUCUCCAAGCUUGGAACCAAGAUCCACAGGUUCCCACGAGGCUUACGAGGGGUCAACGAGCGCUACAUCGUCCCGAGCUUCGUGUCCCUCGGCCCGUACCAUCAUGGCUCACCGCACCUGCGGGAGACAGAGGAGUUGAAGCACGCGGCAGCCCACUACUUGUGCGAGAAGUCAGGCCGCUCCGUUGAGGAAGUCUAUGACAAGAUCCUCUCCAUCGGCACUGAAGCCCGCAGCUGCUACGCCGAUGGUGCAGUGGCGAAGUUCACGGACGCUGAAUUUGCGGUAAUGAUGUUCCUCGAUGGUUGCUAUCUGCUGCUCUAUAUUACUAACGAUCCUGGAUGUGCUUUACUGUUAAAUCGGAUGACCAUGUCCACAGGGCCUUGCAUGGCAAGGGACAUCUUUCUGCUGGAGAAUCAACUCCCUUGGAUGGUCCUCGAGGCUCUUUUGGAGAUUGUGACACCGUCUCCAGUGUGCAAUUUUAUUGUUCGUUCGGCAAUAUAUUUCGAUAUCAUCCCACGUCCAUCAAAUACAAGGGUUUCUAUGGAUGAACUCGAGAGGUACAGGCCGCCACAUCUCCUUGGUCUCCUCCGAUACUAUCAGAUCGGCAAUAUGAUUGCCGAAGAACGUACCAGCAAUGUCCAAUUCACCUCAUCUGGUAGUAGUGCCAUUGAGCUCGCAGAAAUCGGCAUCAAGCUAACUGCCAGCAACAAAACAUAGUUCGCUGACAUGAGCAUCCAUAGUGGCUGCAUCUUCAGCCAGCUCUCCCUGAUGCCAUUAUUCAUAAAUGACUUCACUGCUUGCUGGCUCGUCAACUUGGCAGCUUACGAGGCGUGUGUGUCCACCGGAUGGCCAUCCGAUGGCUUCGUCAUCAGCUCCUACAUCUCCCUCCUGGCGAUGCUCAUGGACAAGGAAGAGGACGUACACGAGCUGCGAGCGAAGCACCUCCUUCGCAGCUUCAUCAGCGACCAUGAUAUGCUCGUUUUCUUCAAGGGCCUGGCUCGCGACCUGCGCCUUGGCAGUCGCUACUACGUCAUCCCGGCAAAGAUCGACAAGUUCAAACGUGAAAGGCCCGUGAGGGUCGCCGUACAUAAGUUCGUCUACAACAACUUCAAGACGAUUGUCACCGUGCUCUCUAUUGUUGGUGUGCUCGCGGGUAUCUUCAGAACCUUGAUGAGUCUCAAGCAGCAUCAGCCGUAG
This 1263-nucleotide ribosomal RNA is filed under the name Triticum aestivum (bread wheat). RNAcentral's name for it is "partial small subunit ribosomal RNA". Lineage: Eukaryota; Viridiplantae; Streptophyta; Magnoliopsida; Poales; Poaceae. The record is from RNAcentral.